RNAcentral lists this ribosomal RNA (619 nucleotides) under Clostridioides difficile. Its description in RNAcentral is "bacterial SSU rRNA". It matches the Rfam family "Bacterial small subunit ribosomal RNA", at positions 197 to 841 of the family's 1533-position model. The record is from RNAcentral. Lineage: Bacteria; Bacillati; Bacillota; Clostridia; Peptostreptococcales; Peptostreptococcaceae.
AAUAUCAAAGGUGAGCCAGUACAGGAUGGACCCGCGUCUGAUUAGCUAGUUGGUAAGGUAACGGCUUACCAAGGCGACGAUCAGUAGCCGACCUGCGAGGGUGAUCGGCCACAUUGGAACUGAGACACGGUCCAAACUCCUACGGGAGGCAGCAGUGGGGAAUAUUGCACAAUGGGCGAAAGCCUGAUGCAGCAACGCCGCGUGAGUGAUGAAGGCCUUCGGGUCGUAAAACUCUGUCCUCAAGGAAGAUAAUGACGGUACUUGAGGAGGAAGCCCCGGCUAACUACGUGCCAGCAGCCGCGGUAAUACGUAGGGGGCUAGCGUUAUCCGGAUUUACUGGGCGUAAAGGGUGCGUAGGCGGUCUUUCAAGUCAGGAGUGAAAGGCUACGGCUCAACCGUAGUAAGCUCUUGAAACUGGGAGACUUGAGUGCAGGAGAGGAGAGUGGAAUUCCUAGUGUAGCGGUGAAAUGCGUAGAUAUUAGGAGGAACACCAGUUGCGAAGGCGGCUCUCUGGACUGUAACUGACGCUGAGGCACGAAAGCGUGGGGAGCAAACAGGAUUAGAUACCCUGGUAGUCCACGCUGUAAACGAUGAGUACUAGGUGUCGGGGGUUACCCCC